AGCUAAUCUUACUAAAGAACACAAAUGUGCCUUUUCUUAAACUUGAAUCGUCCUGGUAAAAGUACGGAUUUUCACUUGACCUGUGGCUGUCUAUAUGUCGAAGGCUUCUGAAUUUCUCUAGGCGUAGAAUUGAACAAUAGUGAGACAUUGUAGGCGCAGGCCUGAAUAAUAGUGAGACAUGGUAUCAACUAGCGAAAAGUGCAAGAUGCAGGAUCAGCUUUUAUUUUUCCAGUUCAUGGUACAUUUGUUGCUCUCUGUCACCUCUUUGAAAGCACUGCAUACACCUGCAGUACAGUAAACUUUCUCAGGGUUGGUUCUCAUAUUUUCACACUGAGCUUAGGCUAACGCUGGAUGGCUAAGCACCUAUUUAUUUCUAGUUUUGAUCUGUUGAUACAUGGUGAAAUGAACAGAACGAUAUAGCUGGGCGUGCUCCUAUUUUAUGUCUAUGUAAAGAAGCAAUGCAAUCUAUAUCGGAUGCAAGUUUGGAAAUGUAUUAUUUGUACAUGCUCCUAUUUUAUGUUGGCCCCACAUCUCGUAACUCUCAAAUUUCUUACAUCGGCUGGCGAAUGUGGGCUAACUCUGAACUGCUAGAUUUUUAUAUGUGGUUGGUUGGACACCUUAUGUUGGCGGACACUGACCUUCUCCCAGCCUGUCAAUAUUCACGAAAGCUAAGUUUGAUUUAUUUCUAUUGCCAAGAGGUGGACACUGAUUCUCAUCCAGCCUGUCAAUCUUCACUAAUAUUUUGGUUUAACCUGCUCUCAAUGCAAGAGUAAUCAUGUAUAACAGGGAAAUGCGAUUUUUCCUUCAGGUUAUUGCUUGUUUGUUUUUUGUAGCAUACACCAGAUGGGAAUGUGCUAUUUUUGAUGAGUAAAUGCGAUUCUAACUGUGCUCCAUCAAUUUUUUUUCCGUAGCCAUGGAUACGUAAAGAAAAUCAGCACCAUUAUUUUUGUUUGAAAUUCUAUAUACUGUAAGACUUUGAUUUCGUUCACAUUUGACCUAUUUUCCUAUCUUGCAGAGCCAUCCAUUCAAAUAUGGUUAAUAUCUUCUACCCUGUAUUUACUGUACCACUAGAAUAGAGACGUGCAUUUAUUUUAGUCGAUCAAUUUUUCUGCUGUAGCAAUACUUUCUGUUGUCAUCCUGGUUGUGCUCCAAUUCACUAUUUCCAUGAAUUAAUGUUAGGUACUCCGUCAGCAUGUUCACAUUAUGUGCUAGCCUGCUUUUAAAGGUCUAUUCAAGUGGAUGACGACAACUGUAUGAGGGUAGAGAGGAAUGAGUUUUCUGGAACACGUCUUCGUAUUUUAGUGUAUGGUGGGUACAGGUAUUGUUUGGUUCAAAAUUUAGACCUUUUUACCAAUAAUUAGUAGCAAAAUUUAGGAUUGUUGAGAAGAGAGGUGAAGCUAAAGGCUUCAGUACUAUUCUUAGGAUACUAUAUGUUGCUUCCAGGCCAUGUAUAAGAAUUGUUCAGUUACUUGAGAGAUUGUUGAACAUAUGAAAUUGAUGGAAGUCUUUGGGCACCCUCAA
Long non-coding RNA from Aegilops tauschii subsp. strangulata, 1521 nucleotides. RefSeq lists it as uncharacterized. The record is from RefSeq and is a predicted model, not a curated record. Lineage: Eukaryota; Viridiplantae; Streptophyta; Magnoliopsida; Poales; Poaceae.